Molecule: ribosomal RNA, 823 nt
Filed under: uncultured bacterium
Lineage: Bacteria
Description: bacterial SSU rRNA
Rfam family: Bacterial small subunit ribosomal RNA
Source: RNAcentral
UCUGGAAACUNUCUGACUUGAGUGCAGAAGGGGAGAGUGGAAUUCCAUGUGUAGCGGUGAAAUGCGUAGAUAUAUGGAGGAACACCAGUGGCGAAAGCGGCUCUCUGGUCUGUCACUGACGCUGAGGCUCGAAAGCGUGGGUAGCGAACAGGAUUAGAUACCCUGGUAGUNCACGCCGUAAACGAUGAGUGCUAGGUGUUAGGCCCUUUCCGGGGCUUAGUGCCGGAGCUAGCGCAAUAAGCACUCCGCCUGGGGAGUACGACCGCAAGGUUGAAACUCAAAGGAAUUGACGGGGGCCCGCACAAGCGGUGGAGCAUGUGGUUUAAUUCGAAGCAACGCGAAGAACCUUACCAGGUCUUGACAUCCCGAUGCUAUUCUUAGAGAUAGGAAGUUACUUCGGUACAUCGGAGACAGGUGGUGCAUGGUUGUCGUCAGCUCGUGUCGUGAGAUGUUGGGUUAAGUCCCGCAACGAGCGCAACCCUUAUUGUUAGUCGCCAUCAUUAAGUUGGGCACUCUAGCGGGACUGCCGGUAAUAAACCGGAGGAAGGUGGGGAUGACGUCAAAUCAUCAUGCCCCUUAUGACCUGGGCUACACACGUGCUACAAUGGUCGGUACAACGAGUUGCGAGCCGGUGACGGCAAGCUAAUCUCUGAAAGCCGAUCUCAGUUCGGAUUGGAGGCUGCAACUCGCCUCCAUGAAGUCGGAAUCGCUAGUAAUCGCGGAUCAGCACGCCGCGGUGAAUACGUUCCCGGGCCUUGUACACACCGCCCGUCACACCACGAGAGUUUGUAACACCCGAAGUCGGUGAGGUANCCUUUUAGGG